This 558-nucleotide unclassified non-coding RNA is filed under the name Hevea brasiliensis (rubber tree). Lineage: Eukaryota; Viridiplantae; Streptophyta; Magnoliopsida; Malpighiales; Euphorbiaceae. The record is from RNAcentral.
UAUGCUGGCAACUUUCAAGAACUGAAAGUAGCUUCUUUCUCUUAGGUCGUUGGCUACACUCACCAUUAGAAAAAUAGGCACUUCUUUUGCCUUAGUUAAACUUGCACCAGUGGCACACAAUGAGGAGAACUUCUUUGUCCAGCCUGGGAAUCGAUGUGAGCAUCAAACUUCAAGUCCAUGAUAAUUCCUAGGAGUUCUUACCAAUUGAACAUAUCUUGAUUUUCUGCUAUUGGGUCAAAAUUUCAACACAACUAUACUGUGAAAAUGAAGUCCCUUUAUCCCGUGAAAUCUUUCAUCACUUGCAAUUCCUAAUCCGAUGUAUGAUGAAUUACUGAAACUUUCUUCAUGAGAUAAACAGACUGAGUUUGCGGCCAACGCCAUACUUCUUCCUUAAACUUCCAAUUGCAAUCUAAAGGAGGAGAUGGUGGUUUUCAUGACAGGUAAAGUAGUUGAUGCACAGACAAGAAGCAAACAAAGCUAGAGAGCGAAAAGAGCGCCGGGUUUUGAAGGGACUGAACUUGGAUAACGAUCAUUGAACCCAAAAAAAAACGAAAAAAG